Molecule: non-coding RNA, 816 nt
Organism: Danio rerio (zebrafish)
Lineage: Eukaryota; Metazoa; Chordata; Actinopteri; Cypriniformes; Danionidae
Source: Ensembl
ACAAAGGUCUAGUAGAGCUUCCAGCUGUGAGACAAGGGUGGACGAACAGACGGCCUAUAAAUUCUUGAGCAGUUCUGUCCAGUGACUCUGGAGGGGCCUCCUCCAAAAAGGGCACGCAGGACUGAGCUGUGUGGCUCAGAACAUGAGAGGCACUGCUAUGACCGCUGGCGUAGCGAGCAGCUCAAGCUGCGUGAACAGCAUGCUCUCGAACACUUUGCUGGACAGCAGCCACCAGAGUCCAAAAUAAGCCGCUGGAUGGACAAACAAGGGUGGACGUCAAACGUCCCACAGGCUGCAGUGGUUCUGAAGCAGUGGAAACCUUUUGCCAGGUUGGACUUGGUCAUCGACAGCAGCUUUGUGAAAAAAAUGAUUUUUUCACCCUGAAAAAAGACCCUUUCAGAUCGGGGAGGUUGUCUGUGAAUACCACGGCGAGCUGGUUAGCCAUGAAGAUGGGAUGGCAAUUGCUUCGACAAGCGGCAUCAGAGCUGGCCAUUUGUUUUUUUAUAAGAACAAGCAACAUGAAGCCAUGUGCAUUGACGCACAUGAAGAAAGUUGCCAGUGCCAUCCCAUGAAGUUUAAUUAUGGAUGCCUGAUCCGUCACUCCAGCAAAAGAGCCAGUAUCCGGCCCAGGCUGUAUGUCCUUAAUUUUAGAGACAUCAUUCUCUUCAUUGCUACAAAAGACAUUUCGAGUGAUGAGGAGUUACUCUAUGAUUAUGGCUCAAAGAGGAGAUCUGGGAAAGGGCUGGAAUUGGACUGGAUGUAAAACAACAUCUUUCCAUCCCCCAUACUCACCCACUUCUAACAUGUCCAACUCCA